RNAcentral lists this unclassified non-coding RNA (347 nucleotides) under Hevea brasiliensis (rubber tree). Lineage: Eukaryota; Viridiplantae; Streptophyta; Magnoliopsida; Malpighiales; Euphorbiaceae. The record is from RNAcentral.
UGUUUGGUGAAGUGCACAGGGAGAGAAGUCUAAAACAAACAGCUCCUUUAUUUAUCAAGGCUUUGAAGCUAAACUAGACAUUUCUCCUUCUGCAACUGCAAAACAAGAGGAAAAGAAGAGAUGGGUGUUGCUAACCAAGAAGCGAUCAAGCAAUUUCAAUCUUUAAUGGACCAAAUAGAUGAGCCACUCAAGAAUACAUUUCAGAAUAUGCACCAGGGUUAUCCAAAUGAAACGUUGGUGCGAUUUCUUAAAGCAAGAGAGUGGAAUGUUGCUAAGGCCCAUAAAAUGUUGGUUGAUUGUUUACAAUGGAGAAUACAAAACGAGGUUGAUAACAUAUUGGCAAAACC